GCCCCCUGCGAUAGUGGUGAUGAUUAUUAUUGCGGUUUUGGAGCAGGUUAAAGUGUAAGGUGUUUUUGCAAACAUGAUGCCCCUGAUAGGUUUGCUGCCUCUCAUAUUGCGCCACUCUCUCUAGUUGAAGGCGCAUUUACUCAAAUAUCAAUGGAAACUAUCCAUCAGACAAUCGAUCAUCCUCACCAUCACCCUUCAUUCUAACGUAUGUGAUUGAUCCUCUAUUCAAUAUUACCAUCCUAUCAACUGCCAAGAACCUACCCUGCCCUAUAUUUAUGAGGUUUACCACAAAUCCUUCGAAGAGAAUCGCCUAAGACCACACGCCAGAUGGGGAAGGAACUAUUGGUUUUGAUGUUUUGAGGUUUACAAGGCGGGAUAUUGUGGAAUGUUUUUAGGGAGGAUAGGGGCGAGAAGACGGAUGAAGAAGAUGAUGAUAGUUGAAGAAGUAGGGGGAUAAGGAAUAAUUUCAAUGAAGGAAUGGGAGUGGGAAUGGGGUUUGAUGGGAUAACCAGGCAAGAUUUGUAUAUAAUAUCCAGGACCACUACAUGGUGUUUUGUGUUUUGGGUCUUUGUGGCCAGGGGGGUUGCUGGCAUCAGUAUCGCCCACACCUAUUUAAGCAGUGCCUGCGACCGCUAGAUAGUUACAAUGACCCAUUAGGCAUACCCUCUGAUAGGGGAGAACCAUUCGCCGAAACUUCGACCACAGGAGGUGACUGAGAUUGGGCUAUUUGGCCCGUCUGAUCUGAGCAGCUUAGCUCCUGGCG
Molecule: small RNA, 763 nt
Filed under: Histoplasma capsulatum var. duboisii H88
Lineage: Eukaryota; Fungi; Ascomycota; Eurotiomycetes; Onygenales; Ajellomycetaceae
Description: Histoplasma capsulatum H88 hypothetical RNA
Source: RNAcentral